AGUCCCGUGGUGUAGUGGCCAAUCAUAGCGGCCUUUGGAUUGACGGCGGUUCAAUCCGCCCGGGACUA
Molecule: transfer RNA, 68 nt
Filed under: Haloferax sp. wsp5
Lineage: Archaea; Methanobacteriati; Methanobacteriota; Halobacteria; Halobacteriales; Haloferacaceae
Description: tRNA-OTHER
Source: RNAcentral